This 484-nucleotide ribosomal RNA is filed under the name uncultured bacterium. RNAcentral describes it as "partial 16S ribosomal RNA". It matches the Rfam family "Bacterial small subunit ribosomal RNA", at positions 30 to 507 of the family's 1533-position model. The record is from RNAcentral.
AUUGAACGCUGGCGGCAGGCCUAACACAUGCAAGUCGAGCGGAUGAAGGGAGCUUGCUCCUGGAUUCAGCGGCGGACGGGUGAGUAAUGCCUAGGAAUCUGCCUGGUAGUGGGGGAUAACGUCCGGAAACGGGCGCUAAUACCGCAUACGCCCUGAGGGAGAAAGUGGGGGAUCUUCGGACCUCACGCUAUCAGAUGAGCCUAGGUCGGAUUAGCUAGUUGGUGGGGUAAAGGCCUACCAAGGCGACGAUCCGUAACUGGUCUGAGAGGAUGAUCAGUCACACUGGAACUGAGACACGGUCCAGACUCCUACGGGAGGCAGCAGUGGGGAAUAUUGGACAAUGGGCGAAAGCCUGAUCCAGCCAUGCCGCGUGUGUGAAGAAGGUCUUCGGAUUGUAAAGCACUUUAAGUUGGGAGGAAGGGCAGUAAGUUAAUACCUCGCUGUUUUGACGUUACCAACAGAAUAAGCACCGGCUAACUUCGUG